Molecule: ribosomal RNA, 457 nt
Filed under: uncultured bacterium
Lineage: Bacteria
Description: partial 16S ribosomal RNA
Rfam family: Bacterial small subunit ribosomal RNA
Source: RNAcentral
AUUGAACGCUGGCGGCAUGCUUUACACAUGCAAGUCGAACGGUAACAGGCCGCAAGGUGCUGACGAGUGGCGAACGGGUGAGUAAUGCAUCGGAACGUGCCCAGUCGUGGGGGAUAACGCAGCGAAAGCUGUGCUAAUACCGCAUACGAUCUAUGGAUGAAAGCGGGGGACCGAAAGGCCUCGCGCGAUUGGAGCGGCCGAUGUCAGAUUAGCUAGUUGGUAGGGUAAAAGCCUACCAAGGCGACGAUCCAUAGCUGGUCUGAGAGGAUGAUCAGCCACACUGGGACUGAGACACGGCCCAGACUCCUAUGGGAGGCAGCAGUGGGGAAUAUUGGACAAUGGGCGAAAGCCUGAUCCAGCAAUGCCGCGUGAGUGAUGAAGGCCUUAGGGUUGUAAAGCUCUUUUACCCGGGAUGAUAAUGACAGUACCGGGAGAAUAAGCUCCGGCUAACUCCGUG